CCCUUAGAUGUUCUGGGCGGCCCGCGCACUACAAUGGCGUGUGCAGCGAGUGCCGAAGUAGAGUUUUCCGAGGUAUUCUUGCAAUGCUCGUUUUGAUGGGGAUAGACCCUUGCAACUGUUGGUUUUGAACGAGGAAUUCCUUGUAAGCAUGGUUUAUCAUCCGACGCUGAAUGCGUUCCUGCCCUUUGUACACACCGCCCGUCGCUCCUACCGAUGAGUCGUCCGGUGAAGUUCGUAGACCUCGUGAUCGCGGAUCACUGGGGGAAGCAAAAUGAACCUCGCGGUUUAGAGGAAGGAGAAGUCGUAACA
RNAcentral lists this ribosomal RNA (309 nucleotides) under uncultured eukaryote. Its description in RNAcentral is "partial 18S ribosomal RNA". It matches the Rfam family "Eukaryotic small subunit ribosomal RNA", at positions 1470 to 1796 of the family's 1831-position model. The record is from RNAcentral.